Molecule: unclassified non-coding RNA, 430 nt
Filed under: Hevea brasiliensis (rubber tree)
Lineage: Eukaryota; Viridiplantae; Streptophyta; Magnoliopsida; Malpighiales; Euphorbiaceae
Source: RNAcentral
GUUCAGAAUGCGGGAGAUAUGCUUUGGCGUGGAUAUUUCUUCACGCAAUGCCUCAAGACGAGUGCAAGGGAAUUAUUUGAAUCACAUAGGAGUGGGAAGUAGACGUGGAGACCUGACAAUUGUAGCUGCAAGUCCUCCAACAGAGGAUGCUGUUGUUGCAGCAGAGCCGUUAACAAAAGAAGAUCUUGUAGGAUAUCUUGCUUCUGGAUGCAAAUCCAAAGAAAAGUGGAGGAUAGGCACUGAACAUGAAAAGUUUGGUUUCGAGUUUGGAACCCUGCGACCCAUGAAGUAUGAUCAAAUAGCUGACUUGCUAAAUGGUAUUGCUGAGCGGUUUGAUUGGGAAAAAGUAAUGGAGGGUGACAAGAUUAUUGGCCUGAAACAGGGAAAGCAAAGCAUAUCAUUAGAACCUGGUGGUCAGUUUGAGCUUAGU